RNAcentral lists this ribosomal RNA (253 nucleotides) under uncultured bacterium. RNAcentral's name for it is "partial 16S ribosomal RNA". It matches the Rfam family "Bacterial small subunit ribosomal RNA", at positions 524 to 776 of the family's 1533-position model. The record is from RNAcentral.
CACGUAGGAUGCAAGCGUUAUUCGGAUUUACUGGGCGUAAAGCGCGUGUAGGCGGGUAGGAGAGUUGGAUGUGAAAGCUCCCGGCUUAACUGGGAGAGGUCGUUCAAAACUUCCCACCUAGAGUAUGGUAGAGGAAAAUGGAAUUCCGGGUGUAGUGGUGAAAUGCGUAGAUAUCCGGAGGAACACCAGUGGCGAAAGCGAUUUUCUGGACCAAUACUGACGCUCAGACGCGAAAGCUAGGGUAGCAAACGGG